AACUGGUUGGCUCUGUGACGACGCGUGUGAGUUCGACUCGGACUCAAUGAUGAACCUUGAUCCCUUCUGGCAGCCCUUUCCAGGCUCAAGGACAGUGAUACUGCCCAGGCAAAGGCAUGGGAAGCCAGGACUGGAGCUGGCCCAGGGCCAAGAUUUGCAAGUUGCUGGUGUUCAGUUGGAGUCCUUGGAAUAUUUGUGUUUUGGCCCAGUUCAAAAGUCCAUGGUUCUACCAGUGAGAAUGUGCAUAUGGCCCAUCUCCUAAUGGCCUCCUGGAUCCAUUUUAAAACCCCUUGAUGUAAGUGACUCCAUUUUAUUUCACCUUUCAUGAAACUAUGAACUAAGUACAUUGAAUAAAUAUUACAAGGAUCAUAUCUGAACAAAGUCAUCAUAUAGAUGCAUGUAUGAUCCAAUGUUAUCAUCCUGUAUUUCCUUCUUUCAUUUAAGGCAAUGUCCUAAUUCACUGCAGUGUGGAGAAACCGCC
RNAcentral lists this long non-coding RNA (481 nucleotides) under Mustela putorius furo (domestic ferret). RNAcentral's name for it is "lncRNA (ENSMPUG00000025589.1)". Lineage: Eukaryota; Metazoa; Chordata; Mammalia; Carnivora; Mustelidae. The record is from RNAcentral.